GACGAACGCUGGCGGCGUGCCUAAUACAUGCAAGUAGGACGCAGUUGCGAACGGGUGAGUAACGCGUAGGUAACUACCUAUUAGAGGGGGAUAACUACUGGAAACGAUAGCUAAUACCGCAUACUAGUAGAUGGAGCUGCGUUGUAUUAGCUAGUAGGUAGGGUAAUGGCCUACCUAGGCAACGAUACAUAGCCGACCUGGGAGGGUGAUCGGCCCAACUGGGACUGGGACACGGCCCAGACUCCUACGGGGAGCAGCGAGAGGGAAUCUUCGGCAAUGGGGGGAAGCGUGAGCGAGCAACGCCGGGGGGGUGAAGUAAGUUUGCGGAAGGUAAAGGUAAGUUGUUAAGGAAGCGGUACUUAACCAGAAAGCGACGGCUAACUACGUGCCAGCAGCCGCGGUAAUAC
This 407-nucleotide ribosomal RNA is filed under the name uncultured bacterium. RNAcentral's name for it is "partial 16S ribosomal RNA". It matches the Rfam family "Bacterial small subunit ribosomal RNA", at positions 28 to 526 of the family's 1533-position model. The record is from RNAcentral.